UACGGAAGGUCCGGGCGUUAUCCGGAUUUAUUGGGUUUAAAGGGAGCGCAGGCGGAGAUGCAAGCGUGACGUCAAAUUUCGGGGCUCAACCCCGUCUCGCGUCGCGAACUGCGUCCCUUGGUUGCGGGAAGGGGAGGCGGAACUCGUGGUGUAGCGGUGAAAUGCAUAGAUAUCACGAAGAACUCCGAUCGCGAAGGCAGCCUUCCGGCCCGUCAACGACGCUCAUGCUCGAAGGUGCGGGUAUCAAACAGG
This 252-nucleotide ribosomal RNA is filed under the name uncultured bacterium. RNAcentral describes it as "partial 16S ribosomal RNA". It matches the Rfam family "Bacterial small subunit ribosomal RNA", at positions 524 to 776 of the family's 1533-position model. RNAcentral also lists the same sequence under 1 other name. The record is from RNAcentral.